CCAGCCUUGUCACGAAUUCGCCCAUUAGGUUGCGUAUCUUCCCUAUUCUUUCACUCAGCGUUCUUACGUUCGUUAUUCGUUUUGAGUACGGGUAUUUCAGAUGCGUUAUAUGAAAGUAAUUGGAAUAAGCAACCCAAUGCGGUUAGGCAAAUUAUUCUGAUUAUAAUGAUGAGAGUUCAAAGGCCUUUAAAUAUUUAUAUUGGACCAUUCUAUCCUAUAACAAUUGGCACUGCUCUAGGGACAAUGAAAGCAGCUUAUUCAUAUGUCACGAUGAUUGUUGGCAUGGACAGCCAAAAAUCUUAACUACAAAAGAAGCAAAAGAUGGCAAAUUAAAUAUUGCAAAACCAAGAGGCAAAGAGUUGAACAUAAUAAAUUAUCACACCAAUUAUCACACAAAAAGAUGUUCAAUCACAUUUUUAUCGUAUUUAUGUAGUAAAAGCAUACACAUAUGCCCACUAUGUUACUCAAUUCACUAAAAUCAUCUACUCUUGGUUAUUUUGCAUCAUAUAUUUUCACAAACAAAAGAAUCUGUUAUUAAUAUAGUUUCAAGAUGCUACAUAAUAUUAUUAGCAAUAUUGUAGAUUAGUCAGACUGUUUUAUGAUGAAUGCA
Molecule: unclassified non-coding RNA, 610 nt
Filed under: Sitophilus oryzae (rice weevil)
Lineage: Eukaryota; Metazoa; Arthropoda; Insecta; Coleoptera; Curculionidae
Description: odorant receptor Or2-like, transcript variant X1
Source: RNAcentral